Molecule: ribosomal RNA, 867 nt
Filed under: uncultured eukaryote
Lineage: Eukaryota
Description: bacterial SSU rRNA
Rfam family: Eukaryotic small subunit ribosomal RNA
Source: RNAcentral
GUGCCAGCAGCCGCGGUAAUUCCAGCUCCAAUAGCGUAUAUUAAAUUUGUUGCAGUUAAAAAGCUCGUAGUUGUAUACCUACGUAGCACUUCGAUAUAGUUAUAAACUAGACGAAAUGCUGGUAUUUGAGCACGGGAUCAUCUUACGCUUAAUUGUCGUAUUGAUGCUCAACGUGCAUUUUACUUUGAGGAAAUUAGAGUGUUCCAAGCAAACAUGGUUGUGAAUAUAAUAGCAUGGGAUAAUAUUUUUUGACGUGGAGUCGCUGCGUAAGCCUUGAUUCCACGGUAAUUUCGAAAGGGAUAUCUGGGGGCAUUCGUAUUAAGCUGUCAGAGGUGAAAUUCUUAGAUUUUCUUAAGACGAACAAAUGCGAAAGCAUCUGCCAAAGAUGUUUUCAUUGAUCAAGAACGAGAGUUAAGGGAUCGAAGACGAUUAGAUACCGUCCUAGUCUUAACAGUAAACUAUGCCACCUAAAGAUUGGGAGACGUUCUUUACGCUCUCAGUAUUUUAUGAGAAAUCAAAGUCGUUGGGUUCUGGGGGGAGUAUGGUCGCAAGACUGAAACUUAAAGGAAUUGACGGAAGGGCACCACCAGGAGUGGAGCCUGCGGCUUAAUUUGACUCAACACGGGGAAUCUUACUAGGUCCAGACAAAGGGAGGAUUGACAGUUUGAGAGCGCUUUCUUGAUUCUUUGGGUGGUGGUGCAUGGCCGUUCUUAGUUGGUGGAGUGAUUUGUCUGGUUAAUUCCGUUAACGAACGAGACCUUAGCCAUCUAAAUAGUAUUUUAAACGUCAUUUUAAUAUGCUUCUUAGAGGGACUGUGUGUUUGAGCACAAUGAAGUUUAAGGCAAUAACAGGUCUGUGAUGCCCAAG